Molecule: ribosomal RNA, 247 nt
Filed under: uncultured bacterium
Lineage: Bacteria
Description: partial 16S ribosomal RNA
Rfam family: Bacterial small subunit ribosomal RNA
Source: RNAcentral
AGAUGGCGACCGGCGCACGGGUGAGUAACACGUAUCCAACCUGCCGAUAACUCGGGGAUAGCCUUUCGAAAGAAAGAUUAAUACCCGAUGGUAUAAUCAGACCGCAUGGUUUGAUUAUUAAAGAAUUUCGGUUAUCGAUGGGGAUGCGUUCCAUUAGGCAGUUGGUGAGGUAACGGCUCACCAAACCUUCGAUGGAUAGGGGUUCUGAGAGGAAGGUCCCCCACAUUGGAACUGAGACACGGUCCGA